CAGACAUGACAGCCUGUUCUCAUUAUUAUGGAAAAUAUAGGGUUGGUGGUAAUUACUAUCUGAAUAUGAAUGGGAGCAGAAGUGUGCACAGCCUGCGCUGGCCUUUCUUUGACAAGAAGAAGUGGAUCUUGAAGAGGGAAUUCAAAGAGAAACCUGUGGCAACUGCAGUGAUACACACCUAGCAGGAUGAAACCCAACUGUACUGUGGAUGUCCGUUGUCUGAAUGGAUUUUGUUGUUGCUCUGUAAGUGUUUAGCACUGUGGUGGAUGGAUCUCUGACAUACAAAGAGUGAGAAGAGAAAUGAGACACACCUGGAAGAGAGACAGCCUGGCAGGUGGAAAUAUGGAGGCGUCGCAAGAGUACUGCAAGCUUUCAUAUGCUGCCCCAUCAGUGUACCUCAACCCUGACCUGGAGAGACCACUAGUGAUGGG
Long non-coding RNA from Trachemys scripta elegans, 431 nucleotides. RefSeq lists it as uncharacterized. Lineage: Eukaryota; Metazoa; Chordata; Testudines; Emydidae. The record is from RefSeq and is a predicted model, not a curated record. The transcript has 5 exons.